GGGAAAUCCGGAAUUCGGGCAAUGCGCACGCUCCUUGCAUCUCUGCCCCUCAAGAUGGUGGAGCAUGCAAGAAGCGUGACAUCGUCCUGUCUCCCCGGCCACGAGGUCCGCAUGGGCCUAAGCUUCUACACAUAGGACUACAAAGGAAAUGGACUUACAGAUGCUUGCUUUCACAUCAGAAAUAGUACACAGUGAUCUGUGAACAAUCCCAUUGGGCAGGCUGACCCGUACACGCACUGCCCCGUUGCUAGGCGACACAAGUUGUUUCAAAAUGGCGGCCCAAGGCUGACAACAAAGGCUUUUCAGAGUGACGAUCAACCUCGUGGAAAGAGACGAAUACUACAAACGAUGCCCGUGAAGAAGAAAGGAAAGAAAAAGGAAAAGAAAGGGGGGGAAAAGGUGGAGACGCCAGUGGGCCCGGUUGACCCCCUCAAGCCGGACUAUCUUGCCCCACCCCCGAAACCAGGCGAGAAGGAAGAUUGACUUCAACGAGUUCCUGGAGACUGUGAUAGACCAGCAGGGAGACAACAGAGAUGUGUACGAGGAAAUACUGAAGGGCUUCAACAUGUUCGACACAG
This is a long non-coding RNA of Haliotis rubra (blacklip abalone), 578 nucleotides long. RefSeq lists it as uncharacterized. NCBI's taxonomy places the organism in Eukaryota, Metazoa, Mollusca, Gastropoda, Lepetellida, Haliotidae. The transcript is spliced from 3 exons. The record is from RefSeq and is a predicted model, not a curated record.